UUGACCUCAAAUCACGUAGGACUACCC
This 27-nucleotide ribosomal RNA is filed under the name Gymnopus indoctoides. Its description in RNAcentral is "partial 28S ribosomal RNA". The record is from RNAcentral. Lineage: Eukaryota; Fungi; Basidiomycota; Agaricomycetes; Agaricales; Omphalotaceae.